CAUCUGUCCUUCUCCUCCUCUCUUUUACUGUCAGUUCUGGUUUGCCCAUCUUUGCGUGUACAUAACGCGGUUUUCUUUCUGAUGCUUCAGGAUGAACACAACAGGCAAGGCCAUCACUGAAGGCUACAAAGAAGUUAUCACAUUCACAACCACGUUUGACGAUGUGUCCCACAGCAAACCUAAUCUCGGAGCAUUCAAAAACCUCUCGUAUAACACAGUGCCCACAAAGCAGAGGACAAACACAAAUGGACAUUUUGCCACGUACACCGACAUUGGGUUUUCCAAUACCUCUUUCUGUGUAAAAUGGGUACAUUG
Molecule: long non-coding RNA, 315 nt
Filed under: Sinocyclocheilus anshuiensis
Lineage: Eukaryota; Metazoa; Chordata; Actinopteri; Cypriniformes; Cyprinidae
Description: lncRNA (ENSSANG00000001230.1)
Source: RNAcentral